Molecule: ribosomal RNA, 386 nt
Filed under: uncultured bacterium
Lineage: Bacteria
Description: bacterial SSU rRNA
Rfam family: Bacterial small subunit ribosomal RNA
Source: RNAcentral
AUUGAACGCUGGCGGCAUGCCUUACACAUGCAAGUCGAACGGCAGCACGGGAGCAAUCCUGGUGGCGAGUGGCGAACGGGUGAGUAAUAUAUCGGAACGUGCCCAGUCGUGGGGGAUAACGUAGCGAAAGCUACGCUAAUACCGCAUACGAUCUAUGGAUGAAAGCGGGGGAUCGCAAGACCUCGCGCGAUUGGAGCGGCCGAUAUCAGAUUAGGUAGUUGGUGAGGUAAAGGCUCACCAAGCCGACGAUCUGUAGCUGGUCUGAGAGGACGACCAGCCACACUGGGACUGAGACACGGCCCAGACUCCUACGGGAGGCAGCAGUGGGGAAUUUUUGGGACAAUGGGCGCAAGCCUGAUCCAGCAAUGCCGCGUGCAGGAUGAAGG